This 321-nucleotide long non-coding RNA is filed under the name Nicotiana benthamiana. Its description in RNAcentral is "long non-coding RNA (NBEN_LNC006860)". The record is from RNAcentral. Lineage: Eukaryota; Viridiplantae; Streptophyta; Magnoliopsida; Solanales; Solanaceae.
CUUAUAUAUACAAUAUAAUUUUUCGAUGAACAGGCGAAGAGUGUUCGGAUGAACACGCUUGCGCCCCUGCCUCCGCCCCUGUUUGUACGAGUCAACCGACAAAGAGAAUCAAUUGGUACUUGAGCACAUUACCUGGUAAUUUAUCUUCUCAAAUUCGAUAAUGAUCUCAAGAUUCUCAACCAUCAUACUAGUAGUGACUUCUUCUAACGUUGUAAAGGGUAUCCCCAGGCCCUAGCUAGCCCCGGCACCUCGGGACCCGAGUAACCCACAACCCCCACCCCCACGAUACAUGCAAAAUUAGACUAAUUUUGUUUAGAAAUA